This 999-nucleotide ribosomal RNA is filed under the name uncultured bacterium. RNAcentral's name for it is "bacterial SSU rRNA". It matches the Rfam family "Bacterial small subunit ribosomal RNA", at positions 355 to 1375 of the family's 1533-position model. The record is from RNAcentral.
UGGGGAAUAUUGCACAAUGGGGGAAACCCUGAUGCAGCGACGCCGCGUGGAGGAAGAAGGUCUUCGGAUUGUAAACUCCUGUUGUUGAGGAAGAUAAUGACGGUACUCAACAAGGAAGUGACGGCUAACUACGUGCCAGCAGCCGCGGUAAAACGUAGGUCACAAGCGUUGUCCGGAAUUACUGGGUGUAAAGGGAGCGCAGGCGGGAAAACAAGUUGGAAGUGAAAUCCAUGGGCUCAACCCAUAAACUGCAUUUGAAACUGUAGAGCUUGAGUGAAGUAGAGGCAGGCGGAAUUCCCCGUGUAGCGGUGAAAUGCGUAGAGAUGGGGAGGAACACCAGUGGCGAAGGCGGCCUGCUGGGCUUUAACUGACGCUGAGGCACGAAAGCGUGGGUAGCAAACAGGAUUAGAUACCCUGGUAGUCCACGCUGUAAACGAUGAUUACUAGGUGUGGGGGGUCUGACCCCUUCCGUGCCGGAGUUAACACAAUAAGUAAUCCACCUGGGGAGUACGGCCGCAAGGUUGAAACUCAAAGGAAUUGACGGGGGCCCGCACAAGCAGUGGAGUAUGUGGUUUAAUUCGAAGCAACGCGAAGAACCUUACCAGGUCUUGACAUCCAACUAACGAAGUAGAGAUACAUUAGGUGCCCUUCGGGGAAAGUUGAGACAGGUGGUGCAUGGUUGUCGUCAGCUCGUGUCGUGAGAUGUUGGGUUAAGUCCCGCAACGAGCGCAACCCUUGCUAUUAGUUGCUACGCAAGAGCACUCUAAUAGGACUGCCGUUGACAAAACGGAGGAAGGUGGGGACGACGUCAAAUCAUCAUGCCCCUUAUGACCUGGGCUACACACGUACUACAAUGGAUGUUAACAGAGGGAAGCAAGACAGCGAUGUGGAGCAAACCCCUAAAAACAUUCUCAGUUCAGAUUGCAGGCUGCAACCCGCCUGCAUGAAGAUGGAAUUGCUAGUAAUCGCGGAUCAGAAUGCCGCGGUGAAUACGUUCCC